UGCAAAAAUUAUGAUUAAGCAUUUAGACUAAAGAAAAAAAACAUUAUAAUCUGGUGGCAAUAACUUCAUCACCGCCAACAUGCCAAUCUUAUCAGCAGCACCACCAACAGCAAUGGCGUCGAUAUAGAUGUUUCUAUGUACUUCUUUUUAAUAUGGGGUGAUAUUUAUUUCACACGAAAAAGUAUGGAAUUAUAAUUGUACCUUUUGCAUUUUUUUAUACUAAUACUUAUAAAUAUUUCAAAAAUCAACUUCUUUUAUUGGGGUUUGAACAAAAACCCUAGUUUUUUUUUUCUCAAAACCUAAAAUUUAUUCCAUCCUCUUCGGAUCCUUGCUCAAAUGGAAUGUGCUCGACAAUAAUUUGCGGUUGAGCAAACAAUGGAGCGAAAGGCAGAAGAAUUCGUGGGGAAAGCUGCAGGAAAGAUGAGAAAAGUGGAAGAAGAGGCCUCCGCAUCCGCAUCCGCAUCCGCAUCCGCCGUUGAUAAUCAAAUUUUCUUACAUGCCUUGGUGUCACUGUCAGAUACUGACUAUCGACACCGUUGGUACAGUGCCAAUCUCAACGAAACACCUUCUUUGUCCUCUGUACCGGUAAAGUUUUUGAGUGAGAUGCCUCUAUCUGCUCCCGAGCAGGGCACUUCCGUGAGGGUGGGUUCAUCCAUAUACUAUAUCGGAGGGAUCUUUGAUACGGGGACAGAGAUAUUUAGUUUGAAUCAGAAAUGUGGCUAUAAAUCAGAGGUUUAUCGCCUUGAUACUGAGUCUCUUCCAUGAUUGUCGGACGAGCCUGUCAUGGUGCGGUGUCGGUUAAUGGAAAAGUUUAUGUUUUUGGAGGUCAGUAUUCUAUAACUGAACCCUUUGGUGAAGUUUACGAUCCAUCUUCUGACACUUGGGAUCCCUUACCGGAUCCUCUAAAUGGAUCCAACUCCAUGUGUAACUUCAGCCUGGUAGUCCAUUCUUCUUUGGACAACAACUUGAUAAUUGUACAAGAUCAUUACGGCUUUUGUGCUUUCGACCCCCAGUCUUGGUCCUGGAUAGCCAGUGAGAACCUUGAUGUUUUCACCCCCUGCUGUGUUCAUGGAUAGUACAAUUUAUUUUUACAAGAUACGUCCUGAUGUGGUUAAUUGUGUUUAUGAUGAUGCAUUGCUUUGGGCGAUUCAGUUGGACAAUAUGGGAAGUCCUUCCAAAAGGUCUGUGGUGGACUUUGAGACUAAGUUUCCCGCUUAUGAUUCCUUUUUACUUGCUUUGAGGAAUGGGAAUUUAUGUUUGGUCCGGCGUGGCACUUCAAGCAAUAGGGAUAUAUUGAAUCCAGGUCCCAGUUCUGAGCUGCAACUGCUCAAAGUGCUCCCCAAUGGCACCGAUGGUUCACUGUGCGCUGAAGAAGUUUUUUUGGGCACUAUUACCAUUGAAAAUGGCAUAGAUCUCCUCGAUGUUCUCUAGGAGUUUAUUGAUGCUUUAUGUAUUAGACUGCAAGAAGAGAAACAGACUUCUCAUUUUGAGGAAUUCUACUGCUUGGUGGGCACUCUUUGAAAUCUCAAGCCUUUUUUAUUUAUUUAUUACUCUUGAUAACAGUUGAGUUGUUGUUUUAUUAUUGUCUUUGUUUUGAACUA
This is a long non-coding RNA of Mercurialis annua (annual mercury), 1601 nucleotides long. RefSeq lists it as uncharacterized. Lineage: Eukaryota; Viridiplantae; Streptophyta; Magnoliopsida; Malpighiales; Euphorbiaceae. The record is from RefSeq and is a predicted model, not a curated record. The transcript is spliced from 2 exons.